ACACAUGCAGUCGAACGCUGAAGCACCAGCUUGCUGGUGUGGAUGAGUGGCGAACGGGUGAGUAAUACGUGAGUAACCUGCCCUUGACUCUGGGAUAAGCCCGGGAAACUGGGUCUAAUACUGGAUGCUACAUGUCACCGCAUGGUGGUGUGUGGAAAGGGUUUACUGGUCUUGGAUGGGCUCACGGCCUAUCAGCUUGUUGGUGAGGUAAUGGCUCACCAAGGCGACGACGGGUAGCCGGCCUGAGAGGGUGACCGGCCACACUGGGACUGAGACACGGCCCAGACUCCUACGGGAGGCAGCAGUGGGGAAUAUUGCACAAUGGGCGAAAGCCUGAUGCAGCGACGCCGCGUGAGGGAUGACGGCCUUCGGGUUGUAAACCUCUUUCAGCAGGGAAGAAGCCACAAGUGACGGUACCUGCAGAAGAAGCGCCGGCUAACUACGUGCCAGCAGCCGCGGUAAUACGUAGGGCGCAAGCGUUGUCCGGAAUUAUUGGGCGUAAAGAGCUCGUAGGCGGUUUGUCGCGUCUGCUGUGAAAGCCCGGGGCUUAACCCCGGGUGUGCAGUGGGUACGGGCAGACUAGAGUGCAGUAGGGGAGACUGGAAUUCCUGGUGUAGCGGUGGAAUGCGCAGAUAUCAGGAGGAACACCGAUGGCGAAGGCAGGUCUCUGGGCUGUUACUGACGCUGAGGAGCGAAAGCAUGGGGAGCGAACAGGAUUAGAUACCCUGGUAGUCCAUGCCGUAAACGGNNNNNNUNGNGNGGGUGCUUACACAUGCAGUCGAACGCUGAAGCACCAGCUUGCUGGUGUGGAUGAGUGGCGAACGGGUGAGUAAUACGUGAGUAACCUGCCCUUGACUCUGGGAUAAGCCCGGGAAACUGGGUCUAAUACUGGAUGCUACAUGUCACCGCAUGGUGGUGUGUGGAAAGGGUUUACUGGUCUUGGAUGGGCUCACGGCCUAUCAGCUUGUUGGUGAGGUAAUGGCUCACCAAGGCGACGACGGGUAGCCGGCCUGAGAGGGUGACCGGCCACACUGGGACUGAGACACGGCC
This 1050-nucleotide ribosomal RNA is filed under the name Kocuria assamensis. Its description in RNAcentral is "bacterial SSU rRNA". The stretch from base 1 to 801 matches the Rfam family "Bacterial small subunit ribosomal RNA". The record is from RNAcentral. Lineage: Bacteria; Bacillati; Actinomycetota; Actinomycetes; Micrococcales; Micrococcaceae.